GAAAAAGUAUGCAAGAACUGCUAAUUCAUGCCUCCAUGCUUAACAACAUGGCUUUUUCA
Molecule: transfer RNA, 59 nt
Filed under: Mungos mungo (banded mongoose)
Lineage: Eukaryota; Metazoa; Chordata; Mammalia; Carnivora; Herpestidae
Description: tRNA-Ser
Source: RNAcentral